This 253-nucleotide ribosomal RNA is filed under the name uncultured bacterium. Its description in RNAcentral is "partial 16S ribosomal RNA". It matches the Rfam family "Bacterial small subunit ribosomal RNA", at positions 524 to 776 of the family's 1533-position model. The record is from RNAcentral.
UACGAAGGGGGCUAGCGUUGUUCGGAAUUACUGGGCGUAAAGCGCACGCAGGCGGAUUUAUAAGUCAGGGGUGAAAUCCCGGGGCUCAACCUCGGAAUUGCCUUUGAUACUGUCUAUCUUGAGUCCGGGAGAGGUGAGUGGAAUUCCAAGUGUAGAGGUGAACUUCGUAGAUAUUAGGAAGAACACCAGUGGCGAAGGCGGCUCACUGGCCCGUUACUGACGCUCAUGUGCUAAAGCGUGUGGAGCAAACAGG